This 530-nucleotide ribosomal RNA is filed under the name Streptomyces sp. 303C04. RNAcentral describes it as "bacterial SSU rRNA". It matches the Rfam family "Bacterial small subunit ribosomal RNA", at positions 93 to 636 of the family's 1533-position model. The record is from RNAcentral. Lineage: Bacteria; Bacillati; Actinomycetota; Actinomycetes; Kitasatosporales; Streptomycetaceae.
UAGUGGCGAACGGGUGAGUAACACGUGGGCAAUCUGCCCUGCACUCUGGGACAAGCCCUGGAAACGGGGUCUAAUACCGGAUGAUACCCGGGGGCGCAUGCCCUUGGGUUGAAAGCUCCGGCGGUGCAGGAUGAGCCCGCGGCCUAUCAGCUUGUUGGUGGGGUGAUGGCCUACCAAGGCGACGACGGGUAGCCGGCCUGAGAGGGCGACCGGCCACACUGGGACUGAGACACGGCCCAGACUCCUACGGGAGGCAGCAGUGGGGAAUAUUGCACAAUGGGCGAAAGCCUGAUGCAGCGACGCCGCGUGAGGGAUGACGGCCUUCGGGUUGUAAACCUCUUUCAGCAGGGAAGAAGCGAGAGUGACGGUACCUGCAGAAGAAGCGCCGGCUAACUACGUGCCAGCAGCCGNGGUAAUACGUAGGGCGCAAGCCGUUGUCCGGAAUUAUUGGGCGUAAAGAGCUCGUAGGCGGCUUGUCACGUCGGGUGUGAAAGCCCGGGGCUUAACCCCGGGUCUGCAUUCGAUACGGC